ACGAGAAUGUGUAGCAAUACACAUGUACAGUGGCGAACGGGUGAGGAAUACAUGGGUAACCUACCCUCGAGUGGGGAAUAACUAGCCGAAAGGUUAGCUAAUACCGCGUACGCUUCCGGAACUGCGGUUCCGGAAGGAAAGCGAUACCGCGGGUAUCGCGCUCUUGGAUGGGCUCAUGCCCUAUCAGCUUGUUGGUGAGGUAACGGCUCACCAAGGCAUCGACGGGUAGCUGAUCUGAGAGGAUGAUCAGCCACACUGGCACUGCGACACGGGCCAGACUCCUACGGGAGGCAGCAGUAAGGAAUAUUGCGCAAUGGGCGAAAGCCUGACGCAGCGACGCCGCGUGGGGGAUGAAGGUCUUCGGAUUGUAAACCCCUUUCGGGAGGGAAGAUGGAAUGGGGUAACCCAUUCGGACGGUACCUCCAGAAGCAGCCACGGCUAACUUCGUGCCAGCAGCCGCGGUAAUACGAAGGUGGCAAGCGUUGUUCGGAUUUACUGGGCGUACAGGGAGCGUAGGCGGUUGGGUAAGCCCUCCGUGAAAUCUCCAGGCUUAACCUGGAAAGUGCAGAGGGGACUGCUCAGCUAGAGGAUGGGAGAGGAGCGCGGAAUUCCCGGUGUAGCGGUGAAAUGCGUAGAGAUCGGGAGGAAGGCCGGUGGCGAAGGCGGCGCUCUGGAACAUUUCUGACGCUGAGGCUCGAAAGCGUGGGGAGCAAACAGGAUUAGAUACCCUGGUAGUCCACGCCUUAAACGAUGAAUACUAAGUGUCGGCGGGUUACCGCCGGUGCCGCAGCUAACGCAGUA
RNAcentral lists this ribosomal RNA (801 nucleotides) under uncultured bacterium. Its description in RNAcentral is "bacterial SSU rRNA". It matches the Rfam family "Bacterial small subunit ribosomal RNA", at positions 66 to 862 of the family's 1533-position model. The record is from RNAcentral.